AUAUAAAUACAUGAUAACAAUGGCUGGUAAAGAUGAGAGAGCAAAAAUGUCAUU
RNAcentral lists this non-coding RNA (54 nucleotides) under Trypanosoma lewisi. Lineage: Eukaryota; Euglenozoa; Kinetoplastea; Trypanosomatida; Trypanosomatidae. The record is from RNAcentral.